Molecule: ribosomal RNA, 459 nt
Filed under: uncultured bacterium
Lineage: Bacteria
Description: partial 16S ribosomal RNA
Rfam family: Bacterial small subunit ribosomal RNA
Source: RNAcentral
CCUACGGGCGACAGCAGUGAGGAAUAUUGGUCAAUGGGCGGGCGCCUGAACCAGCUACGCCGCGUGAGGGAAGAAGGUACAGCGUAUCGUAAACCUCUUUUGUCAGGGAACAAAGGCGGGGACUAGUCCCCGGAUCAGGGUACCUGAAGAAAAAGCAUCGGCUAACUCCGUGCCAGCAGCCGCGGUAAUCCGGAGGAUGCGAGCGUUAGCCGGAUUUAUUGGGUUUAAAGUGUGCGCAGGCGGCCUGUUAAGUCAGCGGUAAAAGCCCGGGGCCCACCCCCGGCGAGCCGUUGAAACUGGCGGUCUGGAGUGGGAGAGAGGUACGCGGAAUUCGCGGUGUAGCGGUGAAAUGCUUAGAUAUCGCGCAGAACACCGAUUGCGAAGGCAGCGUACCGGCUCCACACUGACGCUGAGGCACGAAAGCGUGGGUAUCGAACAGGAUUAGAUACCCCUGUAGUC